Molecule: ribosomal RNA, 371 nt
Filed under: uncultured bacterium
Lineage: Bacteria
Description: bacterial SSU rRNA
Rfam family: Bacterial small subunit ribosomal RNA
Source: RNAcentral
GGAGGGUGCAAGCGUUAUUCGGAAUUAUUGGGCGUAAAGAGCGCGUAGGCGGCCAGUUAAGUCAGAUGUGAAAUCCCGGGGCUCAACCCCGGAAGUGCAUUUGAAACUAAUUGGCUUGAGUAUGGGAGAGGGAAGUGGAAUUCCUGGUGUAGAGGUGAAAUUCGUAGAUAUCAGGAGGAACACCGGUGGCGAAGGCGACUUCCUGGACCAAUACUGACGCUAAGGCGCGAAGGCGUGGGGAGCAAACAGGAUUAGAUACCCUGGUAGUCCACGCAGUAAACGGUGAUCACUAGGUGUAGCGGGUAUUGACCCCUGCUGUGCCGGAGUUAACGCAUUAAGUGAUCCGCCUGGGGAGUACGGCCGCAAGGUUA